GUUUCCUCCCUGUGAUUCAGUAACAUCUUUCUCUACAGGCAAAGUUUUUUCUUUGAAAGAAAAAUUUAACUGCUCCGAUUCCUUUGUUAUUUAUCUCCUUACAUCAUGUCUGAGGAAAAGGACGGAGCGUCCUUGAAACGUGUUACAUGUGAAUAAAAGUUACCCAUCCAGCUUGUGGACAGCGCUAUCAUCUAUCCCUCAUCCCCUCACACCUGGCUGGUGUGAAAACUCUGCCGUUCUUAUUCCCACGCUGUUGCCUGGGCGGGAUAUAGCUGCAGUCCACAUCGGAUUGUUGUGCCUCUAUCCUAGCACAACUAUAUCUGGCAACAAAGAAGACAAGACAUUUCAAGGAUCAGAGGGAGGAUGGCCAGGAGCAGCCGAAUACAACCAACAAACCAAGAAGAUUGGUUCCUAGCAUGCCUUCAAAAUGCCUAGGACAGGAUAAAGAAAACAUUCAGCAAAGAGAAGUAGAAAGGGGUAAUCCAGGAUGAGAAAAUCAGAGCUGAUUUCUUCUGAAAACUGCACCACCUCUGUCCUAAUGUUGUGUGUGAUAUCGCUGCUCAAUUCUUCAAAAGGGAAUGGAGAAAACUUGUAAUAUUACAUACAACAUGAGGACAGGUAUGGUGCUGUUUUUGGAAACAAAUAGCUCUGUUUUCUAUUCCCUUGUAACAAACUCCUAGGAUGCAGCAACAUUCAUCUGAUGGACGGCACAGGUAGGACACUACAUGUUUUUCUAUACAUUUCUCACUAUUAACACCAGAUUCAUGUAACUAACACAAUCAUUUCAAUGGCCUCAGUGCUGAACUUCUAGACACAUGGGAUAUUUAUCAAAACCUAUGUACAGGAAGAGUAUCAUCUUUCAUCCUUUAGAGAUUUUUGGUGAGAUUUAUCAAAAUCUGUGCAAAGGAAAAGUUGACAAAUUGCCAAUAGCAACCAAUCAGAUUAAUUUUCAUUGUCAGAUUAAAAUUAAUUUUGCAGAGGCCUUGUUAAAAAUAAAAUAAGCAAGCUGAUUGGUUGCUAUGGGCAACUGGGCAACAUUUCCUCUGCACAGGUUUUGAUAAAUUGUGAGCUCCUGGAGGGGACUUUUUUUGUGCGAACUUGGCGAGUAGUACUGGUUGCCUAGUUUUGGUCACCCCAAUGUGAAAUCAGUCAAAUGCAUUCUACACCUCCCCCCUUUUUCUUUAUACUCUUUCCCUACAAUAUCUUUCACCCCCCUGCUAUUUGGGGAAAUUGGAGAAGGGAGUGCUUACACACAUUGUGUUUAAUUUUUUGCGCAAAGUUUUGCGCAAGCUGUUUUUUUGCGUCUUUUUUUGCGCACAUUCUGGUGGAGCAUUUCCUCCAGAUGUGUAAGUUUUGGUGUACCUUGGAGUGACAUAUUUAGUACACACAAAUGUAUUAACUGCGUACAUUUCAUUUACCGACAGAAAUCUUGCGGGAUGACCAUAUUUUUAAAGCCAUCUUGGACUGCACUUAGCAAGAUGCUCUAAAUCAUGCAUUUAAUUUUCCAUUUGGAUUGCGGAGAUUACUAUGCUUUUGUCGCCAGUCAGAUUAUCUCUGUGAUACUUAAAAUCUUUUUCAUGUACCUUUUAAAAAAAAUUUAAUGAUUAUAGACCACUUAUGAUCACCCCUUCACCCGCAG
Long non-coding RNA from Hyla sarda, 1639 nucleotides. RefSeq lists it as uncharacterized. The record is from RefSeq and is a predicted model, not a curated record. The transcript is spliced from 3 exons. NCBI's taxonomy places the organism in Eukaryota, Metazoa, Chordata, Amphibia, Anura, Hylidae.